This 532-nucleotide ribosomal RNA is filed under the name uncultured Pelagibacterales bacterium. RNAcentral's name for it is "bacterial SSU rRNA". It matches the Rfam family "Bacterial small subunit ribosomal RNA", at positions 89 to 655 of the family's 1533-position model. The record is from RNAcentral. Lineage: Bacteria; Pseudomonadati; Pseudomonadota; Alphaproteobacteria; Candidatus Pelagibacterales.
UACUUAGUGGCAGACGGGUGAGUAACAUGUAGGUAUCUACCCUUUGGCCUGGAAUAACACGAGGAAACUUGUGCUAAUACCGGAUAAGUCUUUACGGAGAAAGCUUUAUGCACCAUUGGAUGAGCCUGCACUAGAUUAGUUUGUUGGUGGGGUAAUGGCCUACCAAGACUAUGAUCUAUAGCUGAUUUGAGAGGAUGAUCAGCCACAUUGGAACUGAGACACGGUCCAAACUCCUACGGGAGGCAGCAGUAGGGAAUCUUGCACAAUGGAGGAAACUCUGAUGCAGCGAUGCCGCGUGAGUGAAGAAGGCCCUUGGGUUGUAAAGCUCUUUCGUCGGGGAAGAAAAUGACUGUACCCGAAUAAGAAGGUCCGGCUAACUUCGUGCCAGCAGCCGCGGUAAUACGAAGGGACCUAGCGUAGUUCGGAAUUACUGGGCUUAAAGAGUUCGUAGGUGGUUGAAAAAGUUGGUGGUGAAAUCCCAGAGCUUAACUCUGGAACUGCCAUCAAAACUUUUCAGCUAGAGUAUGAUAGA